This 2803-nucleotide unclassified non-coding RNA is filed under the name Caenorhabditis elegans. Its description in RNAcentral is "Non-coding transcript of protein-coding gene rig-6". Lineage: Eukaryota; Metazoa; Nematoda; Chromadorea; Rhabditida; Rhabditidae. The record is from RNAcentral.
AUGUUGAGCGACUGGAUUGUUGGAAUCAUUAACCUACUCCUGGUUGUACGGAUCUUCGACGGAUCGGAUCUUAAGUCAAAAUGAACGAAAGUUUAUAUCUUUGGAUGGAACACUUUUCUUCUCAUAUGUCACUGCAGAGGAUGAGGAUAGCUAUGCCUGCUCACUUUCUGUCUACUCUACACAAUCUGGGCACUAUGGACCAUUCUUCAGACUAAUUUCUUCCACUCCAAAACUUGUAAAUUCAACGUUCCCACCGAAAUUGGACUCUACCCAGCCUCAAAUCUUUCCUGAAGACCCAAAAGUUGGAGAUUCAAUUUAUCUGGAAUGUUUUGCAUAUGCCAGUCCACUUCCUCAGUAUAAAUGGUCUCGAGUAGAUGGGAAGCCUAUUCCAGCACGAUCGCACAUUUCAAAUUAUGGGCGAGUUUUGAAGAUUGAAAAAGUGAAUUAUGGAGAUGCUGGAAAGUACAAGUGUGUAGCUAUGAAUGCAUUUGGGUCUGCUGCUGGAGAAGUUCAUGUCAAAUUAAGAGCGCCACCAUCCAUCCUACAAGGAUUGCAUGAUCGUCUUGUUCCAACCGAGUCAAAUGUCAGCUUCGAAUGUCUCUUAUCAAAUGCUGAUAGUUAUUCAUCUGUGGAAUGGUUUAAGGAUGCAAAACCAAUUGUUCCAUUACUUCUUCCCGCUGAAAAACGAAAGCGUCUAAAAAUAGAUCACAACGUUCUUCACCUGAAGUUUGCUGAUGAAACCGAUUCCGGAGUCUACCAAUGUGUAGCUUCAAAUGAUGUUGGAAGCUCAUCAAGUUCUGCACUCCUAACAGUAAAAGAUUCUGCUCCAGUGUUCCCUCCAAAUGCGAUGUCGAGAAAAGUAUUCGCAGCAUUUGGAUCAACAGUUAGCAUACCAUGCAUCUUUGAAGCUUCGCCUAGAUUCCAUGGAAAAUGGGCAGAUGCUGGAGGAUCAAAGCUUCCACAAAAGGGAAGGAUCAGAGAUGAGGAGGGAGUUAUUAGCAUUGAGAAGGUACUUCAUGAAGAUGCUGGAUUAUUCUUCUGUACUGCUCAUAAUAAACUUGGAAAAGCUCACGCUCAAGUUCAAUUGAUCGUCGUAAAUAAGCCAUCAAUCAAGACAAACUUUUUGGAUGAAGAGACUGUAAACAUGAGUUGUGAAGUUGAAUUAACAUGUGAAAAUAGUGCAGAAUGCCCUGAAGCUCUAUUUGAAUGGAAAAUCAAUGAUCGACCAGCCAAGGAAUAUCCAUCACUGAAAUCAAAAGUUCAUGAGAAGAAAUCAGGGCACAAGGGACGUCACUUGAAGCAGAAAGUUGAUCUUGAAGUUCCAAAAAGUUUGGCAGGAAGCCGACAAAUCGGAAGAUUCGCGUGCUCAUCACUGUAUGGAGGAAGUUCAGAGUUUGUGACCAAACCUCAGCUCCCAUCACCAAUUGCGUUAACAGUUGAACAGAUGGAUGAGGAUGGGAAGAAGAAGAAAAUGUUCAGAUUGAGAUGGAGACUUCCACCUCAACAUAGGGAUACUAGAGAUCAUUCGCCAAAAGUUGAAGGAUAUCUUGUGGAACUUCGAACGCGUAAAAAUCGGAAAUGGAGAGCAGCAGAACGUCAACUAGUUGGGAAUAUGGAAAAGGACAGUAUCACUGUCGAGAAUCUUCUGCCGAACACUGAAUAUCAAUUCCGUGUCCGAUCAGUCGAAUCCGCUGCAAUUGGGGAACCAUCGAUUCCAAGUGAUUGGGUUAAAACGGCUCCUGGAGCCCCAUCUGAAACUAUUGAUAAUCUGAAAUGGAGAUCUUUGGAUUCACAGACGUUGCUCGUUGAAUGGCAGCCUAUCGAAAUAGGACAAGAAUCUUCUGGAGACAAUUUGAGAUAUCGAGUUUCAUGGAGUGAAGCUACAGUUGGAAAGAAUGCAACUGAUGAUAUGAAACUUUCAAAUCAAGAUGAUGACUUUGAAAAUCAUUUAGAUUCCGAUCAACCACAAGCAAUUUUGAAGUUGAACACCACCGAGGGCUGCAGGAUGGUUGUGCUGGCCGUUCGGCCAGUCAAUGAUCAAGGAAAUGGGAGUGUUGGCACAGAUACUAUUGCGUUUCUAAAUAGCCAUGGUGAACUCAAAAAAGUGUCACUUCACAACGUGAAACCAAUCAACGCAUCGCAUGUGAACAUCUCAUGGACAUGGGACAACACUUCCGAUUGUGAUACCAAACACGCCGUUCAAAUAACCUGUAUCAAUCUAUCGGGAUCCGAAAUCUCUGCAACUGUUGCCAGCGAUCGAAUAUUCUGGAUGUUGGGUGGACUGGAGGCAGAAACUGCUUACGAUUGUGAUCUAAAAGCAAUCGAUAAUCAUGGCAGUUUCGGGCCGGCUAGUAAGAAGUUCAGAAUUCACACGAAACAGCAUCCACCGAGUGAAACGCCGUUGAUCGGGAAGUUGAUGAUGAAACAGAUGAAGGAUACCUACACUACAAUUCUGGAAUGGUCAUCCAUCGAACUUCAGAAACCGAAUAGAACAGAAAAUGGAUGUGGAUAUAAAAUCUUCAUCUACAUAUCUGAAACUGCUACUGAAGCAAUUGAGCUUGACAUGCCACUGCAACGUCUUUCGGAUCGUCGGAAUCCAUCGGCUCGUCUAGAUGGAUUGAAGCUGAUGUACAUGUACACAAUUAAAGUUGCAGGAUAUAAUCCUGGAGGCAUCGGUCCUAUCAGCGAGCCUCGAAGUAUACGACUAGGUUCCCCGGGAACCAUGGAUUAUACAACUGGAAGCUCCGAUGUACCAAUUCCAUCUCUAUUGUUAUUAUUGUUAUUAUUACUAUGGAGACUCUAA